GUCUCCGUAGCUCAAUUGGAUAGAGCGUUGGCCUCCGAAGCCGAAGGUUGCAGGUUCGAGCCCUGCCGGGGAUA
RNAcentral lists this transfer RNA (74 nucleotides) under Planctomycetaceae bacterium. Its description in RNAcentral is "tRNA-Arg". It matches the Rfam family "tRNA". Rfam says of the family: Transfer RNA (tRNA) molecules are approximately 80 nucleotides in length. Their secondary structure includes four short double-helical elements and three loops (D, anti-codon, and T loops). Further hydrogen bonds mediate the characteristic L-shaped molecular structure. tRNAs have two regions of fundamental functional importance: the anti-codon, which is responsible for specific mRNA codon recognition, and the 3' end, to which the tRNAs corresponding amino acid is attached (by aminoacyl-tRNA synthetases). tRNAs cope with the degeneracy of the genetic code in two manners: having more than one tRNA (with a specific anti-codon) for a particular amino acid; and 'wobble' base-pairing, i.e. permitting non-standard base-pairing at the 3rd anti-codon position. RNAcentral also lists the same sequence under 2 other names. Lineage: Bacteria; Pseudomonadati; Planctomycetota; Planctomycetia; Planctomycetales; Planctomycetaceae. The record is from RNAcentral.